Molecule: ribosomal RNA, 467 nt
Filed under: uncultured Alphaproteobacteria bacterium
Lineage: Bacteria; Pseudomonadati; Pseudomonadota; Alphaproteobacteria
Description: bacterial SSU rRNA
Rfam family: Bacterial small subunit ribosomal RNA
Source: RNAcentral
GAGUUUGAUCGUGGCUCAGAGCGAACGCUGGCGGCAGGCCUAACACAUGCAAGUCGAGCGCCCCGCAAGGGGAGCGGCAGACGGGAGAGUAACACGUGGGAACGUACCCUUCAGUUCGGAACAACCCAGGGAAACUUGGGCUAAUACCGGAUACGUCCGUAAGGAGAAAGAUUUAUCGCUGAAGGAUCGGCCCGCGUCUGAUUAGCUAGUUGGUGGGGUAACGGCCCACCAAGGCGACGAUCAGUAGCUGGUCUGAGAGGAUGAUCAGCCUCACUGGGACUGAGACACGGCCCAGACUCCUACGGGAGGCAGCAGUGGGGAAUAUUGGACAAUGGGCGCAAGCCUGAUCCAGCCAUGCCGCGUGGAUGAUGAAGGCCCUAGGGUUGUAAAGUCCUUUCGGCGGGGAAGAUAAUGACGGUACCCGCAGAAGAAGCCCCGGCUAACUUCGUGCCAGCCGCCGCAGUAAC